GACGAACGCUGGCGGCAUGCCUAACACAUGCAAGUCGAACGGAGAUUAUUUCGGUAAUCUUAGUGGCGAACGGGUGAGUAACGCGUGGGCAACCUGCCCUCUAGAUGGGGACAACAUCCCGAAAGGGGUGCUAAUACCGAAUGUGACAGCAAUCUCGCAUGAGGAUGCUGUGAAAGAUGGCCUCUAUUUAUAAGCUAUCGCUAGAGGAUGGGCCUGCGUCUGAUUAGCUAGUUGGUGGGGUAACGGCCUACCAAGGCGAUGAUCAGUAGCCGGUCUGAGAGGAUGAACGGCCACAUUGGGACUGAGACACGGCCCAGACUCCUACGGGAGGCAGCAGGGGGGAAUCUUCCGCAAUGGGCGAAAGCCUGACGGAGCAAUGCCGCGUGAGUGAUGAAGGAAUUCGUUCCGUAAAGCUCUUUUGUUUAUGACGAAUGUGCAGAUUGUGAACAAUGAUCUGUAAUGACGGUAGUAAACGAAUAAGCCACGGCUAACUACGUG
This 498-nucleotide ribosomal RNA is filed under the name uncultured bacterium. Its description in RNAcentral is "partial 16S ribosomal RNA". It matches the Rfam family "Bacterial small subunit ribosomal RNA", at positions 28 to 507 of the family's 1533-position model. The record is from RNAcentral.